GAUGAACGCUGGCGGCGUGCUUAACACAUGCAAGUCGAACGGAAAGGCCCAAGCUUGCUUGGGUACUCGAGUGGCGAACGGGUGAGUAACAAGUGGGUGAUCUGCCCUGCACUUCGGGAUAAUCCUGGGAAACUGGGUCUAAUACCGGAUAGUACCACUUCUUGGAUGUUGUGGUGGAAAGUUUUUUCGGUGUGGGAUGAGCUCGCGGCCUAUCAUCUUGUUGGUGGGGUAAUGGCCUACCAAGUCGUCGACGGGUAGCCGGCCUGAGAGGGUGUACGGCCACAUUGGGACUGAGAUACGGACCAGACUCCGACGGGAGGAAGAAGUGGGGAAUAUUGAACAAUGGGCGCAAGCCUGAUGCAGCGACGCCGAGUGGGGGAUGACGGCCUUCGGGUUGUAAAAUACUUUCGCUAGGGACGAAGCGUUUUGUGACGGUACCUGGAGAAGAAGCACCGGCUAACUACGUG
RNAcentral lists this ribosomal RNA (467 nucleotides) under uncultured bacterium. RNAcentral describes it as "partial 16S ribosomal RNA". It matches the Rfam family "Bacterial small subunit ribosomal RNA", at positions 28 to 507 of the family's 1533-position model. The record is from RNAcentral.